CAGUCGCCGCGGUAAUACGAAGGGGGCUAGCGUUGUUCGGAUUUACUGGGCGUAAAGCGCACGUAGGCGGAUCCUUAAGUCAGAGGUGAAAUCCCAAGGCUCAACCUUGGAACUGCCUUUGAUACUGGGGAUCUCGAGUUCGGGAGAGGUGAGUGGAACUGCGAGUGUAGAGGUGAAAUUCGUAGAUAUUCGCAAGAACACCAGUGGCGAAGGCGGCUCACUGGCCCGAUACUGACGCUGAGGUGCGAAAGCGUGGGGAGCAAACAGGAUUAGAUACCCCUGUAGUCCCUGUCUCUUAUAC
This 301-nucleotide ribosomal RNA is filed under the name uncultured bacterium. Its description in RNAcentral is "partial 16S ribosomal RNA". It matches the Rfam family "Bacterial small subunit ribosomal RNA", at positions 509 to 807 of the family's 1533-position model. The record is from RNAcentral.